GUUCUCUUGGGCAGCACAUGUACCAAAAUUGGAACGAUACAGAGAUUAGCACGGCCUCUGGGCAAGGAUGACAUGAAAAUUUGUGAAGCAUUCCAUAGUUUU
Small nuclear RNA from Pipistrellus kuhlii (Kuhl's pipistrelle), 102 nucleotides. Lineage: Eukaryota; Metazoa; Chordata; Mammalia; Chiroptera; Vespertilionidae. The record is from RefSeq and is a predicted model, not a curated record.